This is an RNA transcript of Mauremys mutica (yellowpond turtle), 3849 nucleotides long. It is a transcript of the gene named peptidyl-prolyl cis-trans isomerase FKBP2-like, with no coding region annotated. Lineage: Eukaryota; Metazoa; Chordata; Testudines; Geoemydidae. The record is from RefSeq and is a predicted model, not a curated record. The transcript has 3 exons.
UCUCCUGUCCCCACCGCCCCUCCCUGUGGAAGCAGGAGCUGCAGCAGCCCCUCUGAACCAGCCGGGAUCCCAGCGCUGCAAGAUUAUCUGCAGCAGUGUCCAGGAGGGACUCCGGUACUGAGAGCUUCCUCACCGCAAUGCCAUGCCAGGCACCUCAUCCCAGUGAGCUGGGGCCGGGACGGACACUGGGAGAGGGAGACUGCCAGGCACAUAUCCAGCCCCCACCAGCAGGACCAGAGACCAGAGGGGCCAGUGUUGCCAGGAUGGGGAUCAGAGAGUUGAGGGGGGCAGCCCCCCACCUGCACACACACACACAGGCAGUUGCUUAGCCAAGCCUCUACACAGCCAGGGCUCUGGGCUGAAUCCCCCCAUCUGAGUGGAGCACUGGGAGUGCCAAGUGAGAGUUGUGCUGGGUGGAUUUGGGAGGAGUGGAGACACCAGAAUCGGGGGGGGGGGCAGGUGAGCCACCCCAAUGAUCAUUAGCCACGGUUCCAGACUCUGCUCCACCCUCCCCAGAAAACAGCUAAACCCACAGGGCAUCCAAAAGCCCCAGUGCCGGGGCAGCGGGUAUCAGAGCCCCAAGGGCUGUGCACCCCUGAAUUCCCUUCUACAUCCCUCUGUGUGUUCUUAUAUCCAUCCAUCUGCACCGUACCCCUCCCUCCCCACACAUCCCUCCCUCCGUCUCUCCAUCCCCAACCACACACAGCUCCCCAUAAACACCUCUCUACGUAUCCAUCCGCACCACAUCCCUCCCUCCGUCUCUCCAUCCCCAACCACACACAGCUCCCCAUAAACACCUCUCUACGUAUCCAUCCGCACCACAUCCCUCCCUCCGUCUCUCCAUCCCCAACCACACACAGCUCCCCAUAAACACCUCUCUACGUAUCCAUCCGCACCACAUCCCUCCCUCUGUCUCUCCAUCCCCAACCACACACAGCUCCCCAUAAACACCUCUCUACGUAUCCAUCCGCACCACAUCCCUCCCUCCGUCUCUCCAUCCCCAACCACACACAGCUCCCCAUAAACACCUCUCUACGUAUCCAUCCGCACCACAUCCCUCCCUCUGUCUCUCCAUCCCCAACCACACACAGCUCCCCAUAAAUACCUCUCUACGUAUCCAUCCGCACCACAUCCCUCCCUCCGUCUCUCCAUCCCCAACCACACACAGCUCCCCAUAAAUACCUCUCUACGUAUCCAUCCGUACCACAUCCCUCCCUCUGUCUCUCCAUCCCCAACCACACACAGCUCCCCAUAAACACCUCUCUACGUAUCCAUCCGCACCACAUCCCUCCCUCUGUCUCUCCAUCCCCAACCACACAAAGCUCCCCAUAAACACCUCUCUACGUAUCCAUCCGCACCACAUCCCACCCUCCAUCUCUCCAUCCCCAACCACACACAGCUCCCCAUAGACGCCUCUCUAUGUAUCUAUCCAUCCAUGAAUCCCCACACAUCCCCAUCUCAUCCAUUCCCCCCUCCCCCGCUAUUUCCAAUUUCCCUUUGUGACUAUCUGAGCAUGACGCUCACACACCCCAGGUUCCCGUGCAGGGUGCAUGCAAAGGGGCGAGUGGGGGGCGGAUUCGGGAGACACACACACCCAUGCUGGGCAAGCGCCAGAUGGGGAGUGCGGCUCUGGGGCCUGUGCAUGAAGGAUUAAUCCUGGCAUUUCACACAUAGUUCCCAUCGCAGCACACUCCACUAAUCCCCUACCCACGUCAUGGCCUCACCCGCCACAACCCCCUCUGUGCCUGCUGGGAGGUAGGCUGCUGCAUGGAGCUCCCUGCUGGGAGGGAGAACCCCUUGGCGCUGUGAACUUCCCCACAGCAGUGCCCAGCCAGGGAUUCCAGUGCUGUGAGCUUCCCCACAGCAGUGCCCAGCCAGGAUCUAGGAAUUAGCAGGGAAUUAGCACUUCUGGGUCCACAUGCCCAAUAAGGAAGUGCACUGGCUUCCAAGCCCAUCUCGCCAGGCAUCACUAUGAGCUGUGUAUCCUCCCGAUCAGCACCCCACAACCCACCCCCAGCACCCUGCUCUGCCCCCCUGCCCAGGAUGGAGCUGGCAUCAAAUAUGCUUCCCCUACAGUUGUGUAUUUGAGGAGUUUAGCUCUGGUGGUGCUGGGGGUCAGAGUCCGAGGAGGAAGGGGCAUUGAUGGCAUUUUCCAUGCCCCAUCUCCCAUCCCAGCAAUUCCAUCCUGUAGGGGUGGGGUGUGGAAAUCCAUCUAAGCCAUCCCUGCCCCCUCACUCUGCGCUGUCAGUCCACCCUGCCCAGGGGCGCCAGGUCAGAUUCCUGAGCCCCCCUCCCCAAAUGCACCUUGUGCUACAGCAGGUUUCAGCGGCAUGUGCAGGCUUCCGCUAGUGGCUGGUGUAGGGGGCACCUGGCUGCCUAGCUCAACUCCUGCUCCACUGGCCAGAAAUGGAAUGGGCCCAAUCUAGACGGGAUGGCUCCCCCUGCAAGCUCCCCAUGGCCAGCUGCUCCUGCACCCCUGCAGGGGGACUUCCCCAGCAGCCUGAACUGCCCUCUGCACAGUGCUGGACAUGGGCAUGUGGGCCGCAGCUCAGCAACUGCUCAAUCCUUCCCCAGCUACCCCUCCAUCCUCCAACCAUCCCCAGUCAUCCUUCCCCAACUACCCCUCCAUCCAUCUCCACCCCUACAUCCUUCCAACCAUCCCCAGCUACCCCUCCAUCCAUCUCCACCCCUACAUCCUUCCAACCAUCCCCAGUCAUCCAUCCUCAUCCACCCCUCCAUCCUUCCAACCAUCCCCAAUCAUCCUUCCCCAGCUACCCCUCCAUCCUUCCAACCAUCCCGUCAUCCAUCCUCACCCCGCUCCAUCCAUCUCCACCCCUCCAUCCUUUCAACCAUCCCCAAUCCUCCGUUCUCACCCUGCUCCAUCCAUCCCUCCUUCUCCACCCAUCCAUCCAUCCCGUCAUCCGUCCUCACCCACCCUUCCAACCUUCCAUCCAUCCUCACUCAUCUGUUCUCACCCACCCACCCUUCCUUUCAUCCUCCAUCCCCACCCCUCUCCCCGACUCCAUACCCACAGGCCCCUCCACCUAUCCCUCCCCACACACCCAUCUACCCCUCCACCCGUUCCGUUCCCCACUAUUACCACAGGGGCUGCUCACAGCAUCCUCCACCCUGGAUGGGAGCCUAAGUACCAUCCAUUCCCCCAGCCAGCUCCCUCCUGCCCUCCCUCCCCUGCUUCCUGCCCAUCACCCCUCUCCUGCUCCGCCUUGCUGCCCCCGUUCCCCCUCCCGGUCCCGCCGCGCUCCCUCCUCCCGCUGCCUGCCGCCUCCCCUGGGGCCGGGCUGGGCCGGGCCAUCAGUCACUCCCUAGAGCCAGCCCCGCUCCCUCUCCCCGGCCGCCCGCGGCCGCCUGGCUCACUCGGAGCCGCUCGUUCCUGCAGGCGCGCUGGCCCCGCGGGCUCCGAUGCACCUGUAGCCGCCCCCGGCAGCGGGCCCCCCUGGGGCCGGGCGGGGCCCGAUCCUUGGAUUUACCUCCCCACGGACUGCGGAGCCGGGCUCCUGCGCUCCCUUCGGGGGACUCCCAGGGCCGAGGGGUCCGUGCUCCGCAUCCCGCCAGCCCAGCGCUCGGAGCUACCAUGCGAGUGCCCCGGACUGCGGGCGCUGCCGGAGGGAGGGGGCAGCUGCCGGCCAGGCGCCCUGGGCACCAGCGCUAGGGGACCCCCACACUCCGGCUCGGCACCAUGAGAGCCCCCGGGGAGACCCUGCACCUCCUGCUGGCUACAGCGCUGCAGCUGAUCGGCUGCGCAGCUAAGGGUCUCUUGGGGGUGUACCCAGCCUGACUGCCUGCAGGCACCACAGCCCCAGACGAAGGGGACUCCCCCGCUGGGGGAAG